AACUAACGCAAAUCAAAGUUACAGUUUCUGUACUUUAUU
This 39-nucleotide unclassified non-coding RNA is filed under the name Leptomonas pyrrhocoris. RNAcentral describes it as "trans-spliced leader sequence". The record is from RNAcentral. Lineage: Eukaryota; Euglenozoa; Kinetoplastea; Trypanosomatida; Trypanosomatidae.